This 232-nucleotide ribosomal RNA is filed under the name uncultured bacterium. Its description in RNAcentral is "partial 16S ribosomal RNA". It matches the Rfam family "Bacterial small subunit ribosomal RNA", at positions 523 to 751 of the family's 1533-position model. The record is from RNAcentral.
AUACGUAGGUGGCAAGCGUUGUCCGGAUUUAUUGGGCGUUAAAAGCGAGCGCAGGCGGUUUUUUAAAGUCUGAUGUGAAAGCCUUCGGCUCAACCGAAGAAGUGCAUCGGAAACUGGGAAACUUGAGUGCAGAAGAGGACAGUGGAACUCCAUGUGUAGCGGUGAAAUGCGUAGAUAUAUGGAAGAACACCAGUGGCGAAGGCGGCUGCCUGGUCUGUAACUGACGCUGAGG